AAAUUACGAUAUCGACAAUGACAUUCUAAUUUCUUGAAAAUUCCUUUGUAAGUUAUAAUUUCUUUAUUUUCACUUCGCAGUAAUAAAAGGCGCUGAUCUUAUUUUGAAAAUUGAAGUGAAAAUUGAAAUGGCAGGUCUUAUAUUUGCUGGCUUGACAUUGUCUGGUUGGCGUCCAUCCGACUUUGUGCCAACAUUUGCAACCCGGUCCAAAAGGAGACACGGGAGCGACUUUUUCCCAUAGGACAUCCCCAUGAAAGCAGCUGGCAUGUUUUCAAAGCCUUCGGUGACGUGCUCCCGGCAGAUCAGCUUCCCCUGCAGGUGCAACCCGAGUAUGGUAAAAUUACACUGAAGAUGUGGGACAGUGGAAAUAAGGUGGCUAUCCGAAUGAAGACAGGGGAACAUAAGAUGGAAAGAGACAAGGCUCACCUCUUUGACCCAUGCCAUCAGCCUCUUGAGGGAUUCGGGGUGCUUGUGUUCCCACCUGCUCUGCAUGAAGCCCUCCAUCUUCAGCUGCUUGAAGAUCAUGGUCAGGUGGGGGUACGGGCCUGAGAGACAGGAGGGAUUAAUUGUGGGUAAAAAAAAAAAAAAAAAAAAAAAAAU
Molecule: long non-coding RNA, 600 nt
Organism: Myripristis murdjan (pinecone soldierfish)
Lineage: Eukaryota; Metazoa; Chordata; Actinopteri; Holocentriformes; Holocentridae
Exons: 2
Source: RefSeq, a predicted model, not a curated record